This 246-nucleotide long non-coding RNA is filed under the name Nicotiana benthamiana. Its description in RNAcentral is "long non-coding RNA (NBEN_LNC001195)". The record is from RNAcentral. Lineage: Eukaryota; Viridiplantae; Streptophyta; Magnoliopsida; Solanales; Solanaceae.
UACACUAAUUCUGAGCCUAAUAAUUGGUCAUUUCCUUAAUUGUGGCUAUUUCUGUAAUCUCUUUAUUCUUCUGUAUUCUUUUGUAAAAUAGGCUAUAUGUACAAAUAGGUUGUAUUUGUAAAUAGGCCAGUUUUGUAAUAAGUAUAUCUGAUAUAUACUCUCACUUGAUACUUGACCCUUCACAGGGGUCAUUUGGCUUAUGACAGAGUCUUCUUCGAGACUCUUCUAUUCUCUCUUCCUUCUCUC